CCGUCCCACUCGCCUCCCCCUCCUCGUCGCCCUCCUCUCUCUCUCUCGCUGACCCCUCUCUCCCCCCGUGCAAGCCAGCCCCGGAUCUGGAGGAAGAGGAGAGAUGCGGGCGCCUCCCGUCCCACUCGCCUCCCCCUCCUCGUCGCCCUCCUCUCUCUCUCUCUCGCUAACCCCUCUCUCCCCCCGUGCAAGCCAGCCCCGGAUUUGGAGGAAGAGGAGAGAUGCGGGAUCUGGAGGAGGAAGAGGAGACCCGGGCGUCCCGGCGGUGGAUCGACCGAUGCCAGAUCGGGCAGAGGUCGCCGCCGUGGGAGGAGCAGGAAAGGGUGAGGCCUGGGCUCCACCGGCAGCGCACGCUCUUUAGGCUGGUGCUAGGCUGCAUCUUUUCCUGCCCCCGUUCUGGUGCCUCCUCCUACCCGCGUAAAUGGCGAGCAGAGGGCGUGAGUACCAGAGUUUGGAUGUGGAUGUUACUUCAGGGAGGAAGUUGGUUACAAUUUUCAUUUGUAUGAUGCAGCAGUCACAAACUAAUUUACAUAAUUUGUUGGUGUUGCGGUCUCUCCCCAUCUUAACAUUGUCUUCCGCUGCAAGGAGAGGAAAUUUGUGUAUAUCACACCUAUCAGCUACAUCCCAUGGAGAGGAAUUUUGUGUCAGGCAUUGUCAUUGGAGAAGCUUUCACAGGCAUGGCCCUUCUUUCAGUUAUAAGAUUUACAGAUAUACUGAUUCUAAAAGAUUUGAUUCACAGGUUAGUUCUAAUGGAGCGACACGUAUUGUGUUUGUGGUCUUCCAGUUUGCCUUUCUUCCAUGCAUCUGAAGGACUCAUACUUCCAUUUCCUCUUGCGAAUUCAUCCAUCCAUUCCUCUCCUUGCAGCUUUAAAUUUGUGAAAUCCAACGUAUUUAGUUAAGAGAACAUUUGCCACAUAAUUAUGCUAAUAUUCUAUGAAUAAUUGCACUUUUGUGGUUGUGCUAAUAGUAAUAGAUGACUCUUAGCGACCCUGCGCAUUCUCUAAUUUUUCGUACAUGAAAGUUUAUUAAAUGCAUGCAGUGCUUUAUCCUGAUUUGCAAGAGGAACAACAUGAAAUUCCUAUUUCACAUAAGUGAAGAAAAUCUAUAACACUGAUUGUUAUAGUUGGUGGUCUGGCGAUUCCAGUUUAUUUCUCUAAUUUGAUGUAGGAAAUGGAUUGUAAAUUGCAAGUGAGUUGGGGCUUCUGAUUGGACCUUGUGGUGGUUGGAUCUGCUGACAGAUAGGGAGAAGCAUGAUAUGUUGCUACUGCUGCACCUAUUAUUUGAUUUCUCUCAAUUUGCAAGAGGAACAACAUGAAAUUCCUAUUUCACAUAAGUGAAGAAAAUCUAUAACACUGAUUGUUAUAGUUGGUGGUCCGGUGAUUCCAGUUUAUUUCUCUAAUUUGAUGUAGGAAAUGGAUUGUAAAUUGCAAGUGAGUUGGGGCUUCUGAUUGGACCUUGUGGUGAUUGGAUCUGCUGACAGAUAGGGAGAAGCAUGAUAGUCCGAGAUUACCUGAAUGAUUCGUGGAAAUUAGAAUGUGGGGAUCUCAAAGAAUGUUUCACAAGAAAAACAAAUAUUGGCCAUUUCCAAACUUGCUCGGUGGUCGAGGUACUAUAGAGGACAUCAGUAGAAUGAAAGCAAGAGCAACCUGACAACAUUAUUGAUAGUCAACUUCCAUUAUCAGCAGCUUCACACGUGUAUAUCUUUCUUUUGGAAAUGGAAGUUGUUGUUUCUUCCCAGGUGAGCUGAGAACUAGGAAGGUGCGGAUAAUAAGAGUUGUUGACAGAGGCAACCUGCACAUGUGUAAACAGUGGCUAUGGUGGCUCAAAGGGAAGCAGCGGCCGCUCCAUGGAAACACGCAACUUAGUGAUCUAAGAUCAAUCUUCCUAUUCAUUCAUUGCACGCUGUUAUUCUGCAGGACCGGCGAAGUGCAAGGUCAUGUACAAGGGAUAAGCUGGUCAAUGAAGGAAAUUCUAAAAGAAAGCGACUACAAGCAACAUUUGAAGUGAGCUGGGAGCCGGGGUCAUCCUUCUCACCACCAGUCGAACAUACUACUUCAGCCACCAUGUUGAGCGAUAUAAAAGUGUUCUCUAUUUCAGAGAGCAACAACACGAGAUUGUGCCCCCUCUUGCUCCAGGUGCAUGUUGCUGUAAUUAGUAUCAACAGAUUAAAUCAUGGACCAUGUCUCUGUUUCAUACCACCUCUGUUCAUAAAUAGAUAGCUUCCUAGAGAUUGUGCAGUCCUAAGGCCAUCCACACUAUUGCCCGUUAAAGCGUAUUGAGUGCA
Long non-coding RNA from Triticum aestivum (bread wheat), 2284 nucleotides. RefSeq lists it as uncharacterized. Lineage: Eukaryota; Viridiplantae; Streptophyta; Magnoliopsida; Poales; Poaceae. The transcript has 9 exons. The record is from RefSeq and is a predicted model, not a curated record.